AUUGAACGCUGGCGGAAUGCUUUACACAUGCAAGUCGAGCGGCAGCGCGGGGGCAACCCUACGCGGCGAGCGGCGAACGGGUGAGUAAUACAUCGGAACGUGUCCUUAAGUGGGGGAGUAGCUCGGCGAAAGCCGGAUUAAUACCGCAUAAGCUCUGAGGAGGAAAGCGGGGGCGUCCGCAAGGACCUCGCGCUGUUGGAGCGGCCGAUGUCGGAUUAGCUAGUUGGGGGGGUAAAGGCCCACCAAGGCGACGAUCCGUAGCUGGUCUGAGAGGAUGAUCAGCCACACUGGGAACUGAGACACGGUCCAGACUCCUACGGGA
Molecule: ribosomal RNA, 322 nt
Filed under: uncultured bacterium
Lineage: Bacteria
Description: bacterial SSU rRNA
Rfam family: Bacterial small subunit ribosomal RNA
Source: RNAcentral